AGAGAAGGAAAUUCUCCUAUAUUCUGUGUACGCGUAUAUUUGGGAUCUAUACUGAAAUCCCACCACAGCACUGCAUUGCAAACAUUGAUUUUAACAAUCUCUUGUGACUUCCAUAGAACAAGCAAUUUUGAUGGGAAAUGAGACGUGUAAUGGAAUGGCUCAGAUAAACCAUGUGCUUUCCUGCAGCAAGUCCGGCAUCUCGCUAUUUUUGCCACCUUGCCUCCAAAAAAUUUAUGUGGCUUGUCUAUAAUUGGUUGGAGGAGUCGUACACAUACACAACAGCAACUCAACCAUGACAAUAAAGAAUGGAGUGGGAUAAUGGGAGACAUUCUGUUGCAAAUUUCAUAUGCACUUGCAGCUUGUUUAAUAAUCUUACUAGAAAAAAGAGGUUCUUUUUUUCUUACGACUUUUACAUGUUUUAUUAAUUGCUUAAGUAAGUUUUAAAGUGUGGUUA
Ipomoea nil (Japanese morning glory) is the source of this 454-nucleotide long non-coding RNA. RefSeq lists it as uncharacterized. Lineage: Eukaryota; Viridiplantae; Streptophyta; Magnoliopsida; Solanales; Convolvulaceae. The transcript has 2 exons. The record is from RefSeq and is a predicted model, not a curated record.